This is a non-coding RNA of Microcebus murinus (gray mouse lemur), 2405 nucleotides long. Lineage: Eukaryota; Metazoa; Chordata; Mammalia; Primates; Cheirogaleidae. The record is from RefSeq and is a predicted model, not a curated record.
UUUCGGGUGGCAGAAAGUGCUCUGUUCCACAAGGAGUAAGCCUCAAUUGAAAGUUCUUCAUGUGACUUUCAAAAAUGCCCCGGGCAAGGCUCACUUGGAAGAAGGCAGCGGCACUGUCGGCAUCUGGACAUUCCUUCCAUGUGAUGGCACACAUCUGUUUCUUCGGGAUGAGCAGAACACUUCCCGCCCAGUUUUCCCCCAGAUGUUUGAGGAUGUGAAGAUACAGACCGAGGUUACGCUCCGUGCCGCUCCGUGUGCACAACUAACCAUGGCGCGCAGCGGGGGUGCCGCGGAGCUGCUGACCUCCAGGGAGGGCUGUCUGCCCACACGCGAGCUCAGCAGGAGUCAGAGUUAAAGCUCCGCUGUUUCUGAAGCUUCAGGAAAAUGAAGAGGAAAAUCAUCCAGGUGCCAAGCAUUUAUUGACUUCCAAGAAUGAGACCUAAAUAUUCACUGCCGAGUCUAAACAUGUGUGAAUCCGAAGGGCAGCCUGCCAAAACCAAGAGCAGAGCCAACUCGACCGCGCAGGUCAGUCGGGGGGAUCCAAGGCGUCUCUCCGCUUGCGUUUUACAUCUGGGCAGAGGCGGCCCCUGCCCUUGGGACAGCUCUGCCGUCUCCAUGGGAAAGCACCCGCUCGGGAAGGGGGACCGAACUAUGUGCUGGCUGUGCCGUGAGGGCACGACUGGUUUCAUCCCUGCUGCCCUUGCCAGAUGGGGACAUACAUUGGUUUAAGACAGAGACAUGCAAAGUUUGCUUCUGUGCAUCUUCAAAAGUUCAAUCUGCAUGAAAAAUAACCAUUUGCUUCAUUUUGUGCCAAUUUUUAAUGAUGAGUGAGAAUUUGGAUUGAAAGCUCAAGCCUGAGCAAUAAAUUUUGGCAGAAGCAACAAGUAACUUAAAGAAUGUUGGAAACUUCUGUCAGUAGCUUUUAUGUUAUUUGACCAUUUGCGUUAACUGCUGAGGCAUAGGUAGUCUCUCCUGGGCUCCCACUUCCUGAAGUGAAAGAUGAGAUUAAAGAUGUGUGCUCAAGGCGUUUGAAAUGAGGUCUCAUUGGAAUGGGGGAAGGGAAUGGGAAGACAGGACAGAGAAAGACACAGUGUCAUCUGAUCUCUGGCAUCUGGGUAUCUUGGUAGGAACUGAAAUGCACCCUGGGCAUUUAGGUUCCAAUUUUAGCUGCCUUCAUGCUGAUUUUAGAUGUUUCAUGCUUGUUAACAUCACAAGGAGCUAUUGCCCUAAAUGACACUAACCACAUGCAAGAGAAGUGUGAUCAGAUAUGCCCAGGCCACAGACAGUUCCACAAACUUCCAUUCACUCCUUUUGGGAGGCAAUUUGAGAGGCACAUUUAAUGAAGAAAAGCCCUUCUCUGGUAUUCGGGCUUUCGUUCGGUGGAACGGAAGUGCUUUUGUCUCACUUACUUUUCUGCAGUUACCUUCUCCCGGUCCUCUUGUGGUCACCUCCUCCCAGCCAUGUGCAGAGACAUUGAGCACGGAUCUGCAAGGCACUGCUUGGGAAUUGACUGAGGGAUAGAGACAAAGUAGAGGGAGCCAGUGUCCCCAGGAGGCGUGAGCCCUGAGUCCCCAUGUGGAGACAUUCAGGAGCAUGUGUCUGGGCACUUGGGACAAGUGUGAGCAUCUGUCAGCCUUGGACAGGAACGGGGAAUAGUCCCACGUGUGCCCUGCCAGUGGACAUGCAGAAGCACCUCCUGAGCCCACUGUGGCAGUCGCUUUUCCUGCUGUUGGUCAUCCACUCAGACACAGGUCGGGCACACAGGGCAGGGGUGGGGACAGGACACUUCAGUAAGGAGGGCUCUGAAGUCAACAUGAGCCCCUUCCAUCUGGAGUGGGAUCCAAAGGGCUCUCCCAAGCCCUGGGCCCCAGGCUCCGGGGACAGACACACGGCCAACGUAUAAAGUGCUGGGAAACAGCAGGCAGCUUGAAGUCAUUGGACUGAAUGAAAUCACAGCAGCCUCACAGCUGACACCUGAGCUCUCCACUGGCCGCUGAAGUCCUAAGAAGGCACUGAAGACAGGCCAGAAGAGAGUGUUAGAAAACCUAACAGGAAUAAGAAAAUGUUUUGAAGAGGAGGAGGUUCUUGAAAAGGUGUCUGGACAAGUAUUGCCGGAUGAUGGGUAAUCCAGUUGGCUCUGUGUCCUUCGGAUGCAGGUCGAGAGCAGAGCAGAUCUGCCUGUGGUCAGUACUACCCUUAGGCUGCAGCAUUUGGGAGGAUUGCUUGCUAUACACUAGUGUUCCUGAACCCUUUUUGACUGUGACUUACCCCAAGAAAUACAUUUCACAUCCUAUCCUAGAAUCACACUCAGACAUACUCACAAACACACACGUCUACAAAUGUACACUCACAUUUAUAGAUACAUAGCACCUCAAUAAAAAUUUCACAUAACAGUACUUGGUCUU